CAGCAGCCGCGGUAAUACGGAGGGUGCAAGCGUUAUCCGGAUUUAUUGGGUUUAAAGGGUGCGUAGGCGGUGGAAUAAGUCAGUGGUGAAAAACUGCAGCUCAACUGAAAUGCUGCCGUUGAUACUGUUUUACUUGAAUAACCAUGAUGUGGGCGGAAUGUGGGGUGUAGCGGUGAAAUGCUUAGAUAUUACACAGAACAUCGAUUGCGAAGGCAGCUUACUAAAGGUUCAUUGACGCUGAUGCACGAAAGCGUGGAGAUCAAACAGGAUUAGAUACCCUGGUAGUCCACGCCGUAAACGAUGAUAACUCGCUGUUGGCGAUACACAGUCGGCGGCUUAGCGAAAGCGAUAAGUUAUCCACCUGGGGAGUACGAUCGCAAGGGUGAAACUCAAAGGAAUUGACGG
This 405-nucleotide ribosomal RNA is filed under the name uncultured bacterium. RNAcentral's name for it is "bacterial SSU rRNA". It matches the Rfam family "Bacterial small subunit ribosomal RNA", at positions 509 to 916 of the family's 1533-position model. The record is from RNAcentral.